CCUUUGUGUGUGUGCUUUGUGUUUUUUAUUUUUAUUUUUUCCAUUACAUUGAUAUUUUUGAUAUUUUCGAUAUUAUAGCAACAUUUUGACAAAAUAUUGCUAAAGUGUGAGUGAAAUUAUCGACAUCGAUAUUUUUCCAUAUUAUCGUCAAUAUUAUCGAUAUUUAUACGAUAUGUGUAUAGAUACAUUCCGAAAUAUCCGUGACUCAAAAAAACGAUAAUAUCCUCGAUAUUUCGUUGAUAUUAUCGAUAUUUUAUACUAUGGUCUGAUUGUACCAUGGAUUAAUUAACUCAGGGUGUAUUAAUCAAUGCGCUCGCUCUCUCUCUCUCUCUCU
This 334-nucleotide long non-coding RNA is filed under the name Prunus persica (peach). RNAcentral's name for it is "long non-coding RNA (PPER_LNC001814)". Lineage: Eukaryota; Viridiplantae; Streptophyta; Magnoliopsida; Rosales; Rosaceae. The record is from RNAcentral.